GGAGGAAGCCCGGCAGCCAGCUCCCCCUCCUUUCUGCAGUCUCACAGAGUGGAAAGAGGCGGCUAGCGCUUAUUUCCAAAUUCAGACAGGUCUCAACAUCUACAGUCGCCUCAGAUUUUGAUUGGUCUCCCAUGUCAGAGAUGACAAGCUCUUGGACUGGUCAAUACUUGCAGUUGGAUAUCAAAUGUUUUCAUGAAGCCAAGAACGACUGUGUGGUCAGUAGGGUAGCACAGUUUUUCCUACUGCCAUCUGCUCCGAUUGCAUUUCCAAAUAAGAUUAGCAACACAGUGGUCAACACAACAGAAUAAAUAGAUUCACUGCAUAGGCAA
Long non-coding RNA from Hemicordylus capensis (graceful crag lizard), 329 nucleotides. RefSeq lists it as uncharacterized. The record is from RefSeq and is a predicted model, not a curated record. The transcript has 2 exons. NCBI's taxonomy places the organism in Eukaryota, Metazoa, Chordata, Lepidosauria, Squamata, Cordylidae.